UCUGUUACUAAAAUUAGCGACGGGCCGAUCCGGCGGUGUGAGAUAGCAGAGAUCCCAUUCAUUGUGCCGGGGCGGGUCCGUUUAUUUUAGAAAUUUGAUUGUGAUCCAGCCAAGCCAAAUAUAGUCGUAGACAGGUAUUUUUAGCGACAGCGUGUCCUUUCAUUUGAACUAGUUACAUCUCUUUACUACAAUUAAUGCACGCCGAUUCUGUGGUGUUUUGUUUUUUGCCAAUUGCUUCUUUCUUAUACUCCCGUGUUUUGUGCCAUACGUUUAUUUUUUUUAGAUGCACAAACGGUAAUAACAAUGAGCAGGGUGAGCUGUGACUAUCGGAAGCGGUAGAUGUGCUACUGGAGGCUCGAUCUCCGUUAGUAUCACUUGUCUUUGCUGUUUUGGCCCAGAACUAGGGGCCGAAAAUCGGUUACUUUUAACGAGGUGGUUGCGUGGGUGAGCCAGACUACAGAAGAACGUCUCAGUCUCUGGCAUCACCUCCCAGAAGCACGGAAAAGAACUGUGUUCAUCCGGUUUUUUAAACAAGGAAAGGAGAAGAUGAUUAACAGAAGGAACCAUCCCUUAGAAAUGUGUAAUUCCUGUACUGACCACAUGUGAACUUUGGUCAUUUACCCCGGACCAUAAUGCACCUUUCUGCUGUGUUGUGACUACACAGGGCGCAGUGUGAAGCACCAUUUUUCAUUGUGUUUGAAUGAGCGGUUUAUCCAAAUACUGCAGGCUGUGAUCCCCCCGGGCACAUGCCCACUCACACACAUGGUUUUACAGCGUAGAAAAGCUUGAUUCCCCUAAUAGGGAGUGGUAUGGCUGAUUAAAAUAACCACAGUGGAGUGUUAAGUUCUGCUCUUUCCAAGAACUGUCGAAUGGGAACAGGAUCUGAUGGAGGUGACUUCUCUUUCUCUGUUGAUAGAGCAAUAAAAGGUUCUUCCUUACUCA
Molecule: long non-coding RNA, 942 nt
Organism: Lepisosteus oculatus (spotted gar)
Lineage: Eukaryota; Metazoa; Chordata; Actinopteri; Semionotiformes; Lepisosteidae
Source: RefSeq, a predicted model, not a curated record